UCCGUCUCUCAAUCGCACGCUACAAGUGGUGCAUCUUGCUCUGAACCUCUUCGUCGUCGCAAGAAGCUUGUCAUAACGUCACCAUCGAGUCUGGGUGCCGAACCUGUCCAGCUCGAAUCCCCUUACGCCAUCACUUCAGUCAUGCCAUGACCGCUGGGUCUCGCAUCGCCGUUGGCGAGUCAUUGAGUCCUGUAUUGCCGACAUCUCCGAAGUCGCAGCUCGUCGCCACCACGGCUUCAGCUUCCACGAGCUGGUUUUGCAGCAGGAGUCCGACGCCAAUUCCAUAGCCUAACCGUUAGUCAUUGUCCGACCCCAGCCUAUCGCCCAUCACCGUAGCAGGUGCAAAGUGGAGAAGAUGAACUUGAAAAUAAGGUAGAUGACAAGAUUGAGCAUUUUAUUAGUUG
This is a long non-coding RNA of Prosopis cineraria, 404 nucleotides long. RefSeq lists it as uncharacterized. The transcript is spliced from 3 exons. Lineage: Eukaryota; Viridiplantae; Streptophyta; Magnoliopsida; Fabales; Fabaceae. The record is from RefSeq and is a predicted model, not a curated record.